RNAcentral lists this unclassified non-coding RNA (383 nucleotides) under uncultured Phycisphaeraceae bacterium. Its description in RNAcentral is "contains 16S-23S intergenic spacer region". Lineage: Bacteria; Pseudomonadati; Planctomycetota; Phycisphaerae; Phycisphaerales; Phycisphaeraceae. The record is from RNAcentral.
UCCGGUUUGACACCGGCAGUCUCGCUACAGUCCUCGCCAUUACGCGUUAGCAAGUAGCGACAGGGGUUGCGCUCGUUGAGGGACUUAACCCGACACUUCACAGCACGAGCUGACGACAGCCAUGCAGCACCUGUGCACGUUCCGGCCUUGCGGCUGUGGCUCCAGUUUCCUGGAGUUGAUACGUGCAUGUCAAGCUUAGGUAAGGUUCUUCGCGUUGCUUCGAAUUAAGCCACAUGCUCCACCGCUUGUGUGAGCCCCCGUCAAUUCCUUUGAGUUUUAGCCUUGCGACCGUACUCCCCAGGCGGCACACUCAUCAGUUUUCCUUCGGCCGGAAGGGUGUCUAACCUCUCCGACCAAGUGUGCAUCGUUUACAGCGUGGACUA